RNAcentral lists this ribosomal RNA (492 nucleotides) under uncultured bacterium. RNAcentral describes it as "partial 16S ribosomal RNA". It matches the Rfam family "Bacterial small subunit ribosomal RNA", at positions 29 to 507 of the family's 1533-position model. The record is from RNAcentral.
AGUGAACGCUGGCGGUAGACCUAACACAUGCAAGUCGAACGGCAGCACAGUAAGAGCUUGCUCUUACGGGUGGCGAGUGGCGGACGGGUGAGGAAUACAUCGGAAUCUACUUUUUCGUGGGGGAUAACGUAGGGAAACUUACGCUAAUACCGCAUACGACCUACGGGUGAAAGCAGGGGAUCUUCGGACCUUGCGCGAUUGAAUGAGCCGAUGUCGGAUUAGCUAGUUGGCGGGGUAAAGGCCCACCAAGGCGACGAUCCGUAGCUGGUCUGAGAGGAUGAUCAGCCACACUGGAACUGAGACACGGUCCAGACUCCUACGGGAGGCAGCAGUGGGGAAUAUUGGACAAUGGGCGCAAGCCUGAUCCAGCCACACCGCGUGGGUGAAGAAGGCCUUCGGGUUGUAAAGCCCUUUUGUUGGGAAAGAAAAGCAGCAGGUUAAUACCCCGCUGUUCUGACGGUACCCAAAGAAUAAGCACCGGCUAACUUCGUG